Molecule: long non-coding RNA, 306 nt
Filed under: Cyanistes caeruleus (blue tit)
Lineage: Eukaryota; Metazoa; Chordata; Aves; Passeriformes; Paridae
Description: lncRNA (ENSCCEG00000020639.1)
Source: RNAcentral
AUGACUGUUUUGAUAAAACCCAAGAGGCAGGCUUGGGUGCUUCUGCUGUCAGACUGUCAUGGCUGUCCAGAGAAGGAGCAAACACGAUGGUGGGAGAUGAAUUUUUUUCAUCUGUCACCUUUCAAGUGCAAUGUGAUCAAAGCCAAUGUUGAAGCAAUGCAGCAUGUAAAGGAGUCUGUUUUCAUUUAGCUGGGCUGUCUUGAUUUUGCAUUCAUUACACAAGAUAGUCCACUCUCUUGUAAGGAGGAGGGACAGCCUCCUGACAAUGUUUAAAUUAAUGUAUCUGCAAAUUCAGUCAAAAGAGAG